Molecule: non-coding RNA, 206 nt
Filed under: Afipia sp.
Lineage: Bacteria; Pseudomonadati; Pseudomonadota; Alphaproteobacteria; Hyphomicrobiales; Nitrobacteraceae
Source: RNAcentral
UUAGUUGUGGGCUGUCGUGGUCCUUGGGACGCCUGUCCCAAGGCUAAGAGGGAAUCCGGUGCGGCAACGCCAAAGCCGGAGCUGCCCCCGCAACUGUAAGCGGCGAGCCAUUGUCCAUCGGUGCCACUGAAACUUUCGGUUUCGGGAAGGCCGGGCCAUGGCGCGGACCCGUGAGCCAGGAGACCUGCCGCGACAGCAUGAACGUC